This 301-nucleotide ribosomal RNA is filed under the name uncultured bacterium. RNAcentral describes it as "partial 16S ribosomal RNA". It matches the Rfam family "Bacterial small subunit ribosomal RNA", at positions 509 to 807 of the family's 1533-position model. The record is from RNAcentral.
CAGCAGCCGCGGGAAUACGAAGGGUGCAAGCGUUACUCGGAAUUACUGGGCGUAAAGCGUGCGUAGGUGGUGGUUUAAGUCCGUUGUGAAAGCCCUGGGCUCAACCUGGGAAUCGCAGUGGAUACUGGGUCACUAGAGUGUGGUAGAGGAUAGUGGAAUUUCCGGUGUAGCAGUGAAAUGCGUAGAGAUCGGAAGGAACAUCUGUGGCGAAGGCGACUAUCUGGGCCAACACUGACACUGAGGCACGAAAGCGUGGGGAGCAAACAGGAUUAGAUACCCCUGUAGUCCCUGUCUCUUAUAC